This 25-nucleotide non-coding RNA is filed under the name Drosophila erecta. The record is from RNAcentral. Lineage: Eukaryota; Metazoa; Arthropoda; Insecta; Diptera; Drosophilidae. RNAcentral also lists the same sequence under 3 other names.
UCAGAUGUUUUCGGAUUAAGCCGCG